CAUUAAAGAGUUCUAUAACUCCCAAACCCAUGUGAACAUACCUAACGUUGCCUCGGCAGGUCGCACCUACCUUGUAGCACCCUACCCUGUAGGGCCUACCCGGGAGGUGCGGGUAAGCCUGCCGGCGGCCCACCAAACUCUGUUUGAUAUUGAAUUCUGAACCUAUAACUAAAUAAGUUAAAACUUUCAACAACGGAUCUCUUGGUUCUGGCAUCGAUGAAGAACGCAGCGAAAUGCGAUAAGUAAUGUGAAUUGCAGAAUUCAGUGAAUCAUCGAAUCUUUGAACGCAUAUUGCGCCCAUUAGUAUUCUAGUGGGCAGGACCGUUCGAGCGUCAUUUCAACCCUUAAGCCUUCGUUGCUUAGUGUUGGGAGCCUACGGCAACGUAGCUCCUCAAAGUUAGUGGCGGAGUUGGUUCACACUCUAGACGUAGUAAUUUUUUAUCUCGCCUAUUAGUUGGACUAAUCCCCUGCCGUAAAACCCCCAAUUUAUCAAGGUUGACCUCGAAUCGGUUCAGACAAACUCGCUAAAUUGAAGCAUCUUAGUCAGCGAAGGAAAAGAAACCAACAGGGAUUGCCCUAGUAACGGCGAGUGAAGCGGCAACAGCUCAAAUUUGAAAUCUGGCCCUCGGGUCCGAGUUGUAAUUUGUAGAGGAUGCUUUUGGCGCGGUGCCUUCCGAGUUCCCUGGAACGGGACGCCUUAGAGGGUGAGAGCCCCGUACGGUUGGACACCAAGCCUCUGUAAAGCUCCUUCGACGAGUCGAGUAGC
This 766-nucleotide ribosomal RNA is filed under the name fungal endophyte. RNAcentral's name for it is "eukaryotic LSU rRNA". The stretch from base 497 to 766 matches the Rfam family "Eukaryotic large subunit ribosomal RNA", at positions 1 to 273 of the family's 3401-position model. Lineage: Eukaryota; Fungi. The record is from RNAcentral.